GAUGGUUCCAUCAUGGCGUCAAUGCAGAAACGACUGCAGAAAGAACUGUUGGCUUUGCAAAAUGACCCACCUCCUGGAAUGAUUUAAAAUGAAAAGAGUGUUCAGAAUUCAAUUACACAGUGGAUUGUAGACAUGGAAGGUGCACCAGGUACCUUAUAUGAAGGGGAAAAAUUUCAACUUCUAUUUAAGUUUGGUAGUCGAUAUCCUUUUGACUCUCCUCAGGUCAUGUUUACUGGUGAAAAUAUUCCCGUUCAUCCUCGUGUUUAUAGCAACGGUCAUAUCUGUUUAUCCAUUCUAACAGAAGACUGGUCCCCAGCGCUCUCAGUCCAGUCAGUUUGUCUUAGCAUUAUUAGCAUGCUUUCCAGCUGCAAAGAAAAGAGACGACCACCAGAUAAUUCUUUUUAUGUUCGAACAUGUAACAAGAAUCCAAAGAAAACAAAAUGGUGGUAUCAUAAUGAUACUUGUUGAUGCCACUGUUACCAUCCUCCUAGCAGAAGAUAGUCCUACUGAGAAAAUGAGCACUUUGAUCAUUCAGUCUUUGAACUUUAACCUUUGACUGGAAGUGACCUAUAGGCAAUGAAGACUAC
RNA transcript from Odobenus rosmarus divergens (Pacific walrus), 587 nucleotides. It is a transcript of the gene named ubiquitin-conjugating enzyme E2 W-like, with no coding region annotated. The record is from RefSeq and is a predicted model, not a curated record. The transcript has a single exon. Lineage: Eukaryota; Metazoa; Chordata; Mammalia; Carnivora; Odobenidae.